Molecule: small nucleolar RNA, 131 nt
Organism: Pteronotus mesoamericanus
Lineage: Eukaryota; Metazoa; Chordata; Mammalia; Chiroptera; Mormoopidae
Product: small nucleolar RNA SNORA38
Exons: 1
Source: RefSeq, a predicted model, not a curated record
CCCUCCUACAAAGAUAUGUUGGUGGUUCCCUGUCUUUGGACACAUAAGAAUUGGAGGCAAAGAAAUGUGAACAUGGAGAAAUCUGGGGCCACCGUGCUACCUGCAGAUUCAAGAUCAACCAUUCCACACAC